Molecule: ribosomal RNA, 777 nt
Filed under: uncultured Neocallimastigales
Lineage: Eukaryota; Fungi; Neocallimastigomycota; Neocallimastigomycetes; Neocallimastigales
Description: partial large subunit ribosomal RNA
Rfam family: Eukaryotic large subunit ribosomal RNA
Source: RNAcentral
AUAUCAGUCAUGCAUAGCAUAUCAAUAAGCGGAGGAAAAGAAACUAACAAGGAUUCCCUUAGUAACGGCGAGUGAAGCGGGAAGAGCUCAAAUUUGAAAUCUUCAAGGUUUUACCUUGACGAAUUGUAGUUUAAAGAAGUGUUUUCUGUUGAAGUUUUGGUAAAAGUUCUUUGGAAUAGGACAUCAUAGAGGGUGAGAAUCCCGUAUUUGACCAUUACUUUCAGCUUUGUGAUACACUUUCAAAGAGUCGAAUUGUUUGGGAAUGCAGUCCAAAAUGGGUGGUAAAUUUCAUCUAAAGCUAAAUAUUGGCGAGAGACCGAUAGCGAACAAGUACCGUGAGGGAAAGAUGAAAAGAACUUUGAAAAGAGAGUUAAACAGUACGUGAAAUUGUCAAAAGGGAAGCGUUUGACACCAGUGUUGUUUUCUCGAAAAUCAAUUAAAAAGAGUUGGAUUUUGUGUUGUAUUGACUUUAUCGGCUUUCUUCACUCUUUUCCAGCUUUUUUUAAUGCACUAUUUUUCGUUUAACAAGUCAACAUCAGUUUCUUUUGUUGUAAAAAGGUCAUUGGAAGGUGGCUUUCUCUUCGGAGAAAGUGUUUAUAGCCUUUGACUCAUGCAAUCGGAGAGACUGAGGUCUGCAGCGUAGAUCCUUCGGGGUUAGAUACAUUUGUGCUAAGUUAUAGCUUUUCAUAGACAACUUGUUGACUAUGUUUAGUCUUGUAGCUUACUCGCUUAUGCUAUUUUACCUACGCUUAGGAUGUUGAACUCUAUCACACACAG